This 444-nucleotide ribosomal RNA is filed under the name uncultured bacterium. Its description in RNAcentral is "SSU rRNA". It matches the Rfam family "Bacterial small subunit ribosomal RNA", at positions 26 to 518 of the family's 1533-position model. The record is from RNAcentral.
AGAGCGAACGCUGGCGGCAGGCCUAACACAUGCAAGUCGAGCGCCCGUAGCAAUACGGGAGCGGCAGACGGGAUAGUAACACGUGGGAACGCGCCCUUCGGUUCGGAAUAACUCAGGGAAACUUGAGCUAAUACCGAAUACGCCCUUACGGGGAAAGAUUUAUUGCCGAAGGAACGGCCCGCAUCCGAUUAGCUAGUUGGUGAGGUAAUGGCUCACCAAGGCUACGAUCGGUAGCUGGUCUGAGAGGAUGACCAGCAUCACUGGGACUGAGACACGGCCCAGACUCCUACGGGAGGCAGCAGUAGGGAAUAUUGGACAAUGGGCGCAAGCCUGAUCCAGCCAUGCCGCGUGGAUGAUGAAGGCCUUAGGGUUGUAAAGUCCUUUAACGGGAAGAUAAUGACGGUACCGUAGAAUAAGCCCGGCUAACUUCGUGCCAGCAGCCGC